AGUGAACGCUGGCGGUAGGCCUAACACAUGCAAGUCGAACGGCAGCACAGUAAGAGCUUGCUCUUACGGGUGGCGAGUGGCGGACGGUUGAGGAAUACAUCGGAAUCUACUUUUUCGUGGGGGAUAACGUAGGGAAACUUACGCUAAUACCGCAUACGACCUACGGGUGAAAGCAGGGGAUCUUCGGACCUUGCGCGAUUGAAUGAGCCGAUGUCGGAUUAGCUAGUUGGCGGGGUAAAGGCCCACCAAGGCGACGAUCCGUAGCUGGUCUGAGAGGAUGAUCAGCCACACUGGAACUGAGACACGGUCCAGACUCCUACGGGAGGCAGCAGUGGGGAAUAUUGGACAAUGGGCGCAAGCCUGAUCCAGCUAUACCGCGUGGGUGAAGAAGGCCUUCGGGUUGUAAAGCCCUUUUGUUGGGAAAGAAAAGCAGCAGGUUAAUACCCCGCUGUUCUGACGGUACCCAAAGAAUAAGCACCGGCUAACUUCGUG
RNAcentral lists this ribosomal RNA (492 nucleotides) under uncultured bacterium. Its description in RNAcentral is "partial 16S ribosomal RNA". It matches the Rfam family "Bacterial small subunit ribosomal RNA", at positions 29 to 507 of the family's 1533-position model. The record is from RNAcentral.